AUUCCAGCUCCAAUAGCGUAUAUUAAAGUUGUUGCAGUUAAAAAGCUCGUAGUUGGAUUUGUGGCGUCUUUUGUGGUCCAUUUGGUACUAACGAGAGAAGCCAUCCUUGGGUGGAGGAUGUGUGGCAUUAAGUUGUCGUGCAUCGGAUGCCCAUCGUUUACUGUGAGAAAAUUAGAGUGUUCAAAGCAGGCUUAUGCCGUUGAAUAUGUUAGCAUGGAAUAAUGAGAUAGGACCUUGGUACUAUUUUGUUGGUUUGCGCACCGAGGUAAUGAUUAAUAGGGACAGUUGGGGGUAUUCGUAUUCCAUUGUCAGAGGUGAAAUUCUUGGAUUUCUGGAAGACGAACUACUGCGAAAGCAUUUACCAAGGAUGUUUUC
This 375-nucleotide ribosomal RNA is filed under the name Brachysira altepetlensis. Its description in RNAcentral is "SSU rRNA". It matches the Rfam family "Eukaryotic small subunit ribosomal RNA", at positions 582 to 971 of the family's 1831-position model. The record is from RNAcentral. Lineage: Eukaryota; Bacillariophyta; Bacillariophyceae; Naviculales; Amphipleuraceae.